Molecule: ribosomal RNA, 1414 nt
Filed under: Amolops loloensis (rufous-spotted torrent frog)
Lineage: Eukaryota; Metazoa; Chordata; Amphibia; Anura; Ranidae
Description: partial 16S ribosomal RNA
Rfam family: Bacterial large subunit ribosomal RNA
Source: RNAcentral
GCCUAAAAUCUAGCCCGAUCUAACCCACAUGACCCCGCAACCAACUGUCCUUAUAAACAAAACAUUUUAACAUUUUAGUACAGGUGAUCGAAAAAUUUCUAAGCGCUUCAGAUAAAGUACCGCAAGGGAAUAAUGAAAUAGAAAUGAAAUAACCUUAAAGCCCUAAAUAGCAGAGCUUCCCCCUCGUACCUUUUGCAUCAUGGUCUAGCCAGUUUCCCCAGGCAAAAAGAAAAUUUUAGUCUGACUCCCCGAAACUAAGCGAGCUGACUUCGAAACAGCCCAAAGNGCAACCCGUCUCUGUUGCAAAAGAGUGGGAAGAUUUCCAAGUAGAGGCGAUAAACCUACCGAGAUUAGAGAUAGCUGGUUGUUCAGGAAAAGAGUCUUAGCUCUACCUUAAAUUUUUUUAUUGCACCAAACAAAACAUCAGAUUUAAGAGCUAUUCAAAUAAGGCACAGCUUAUUUGAAAUGGAUACAACCCCUAAUACUGGGUUAAUCUAGAUAUAUUAAAUAAAGUGGGCCUAAAAGCAGCCAUCUUCUAAAAAGCGUUAAAGCUUAACAUAUUAUUAUCUACAAUUCCACAAAUUUUUACUAACCCUUCAUCACUACUGAACUAUUUUAUACUCCUAUAAAAGUCAUUAUGCUAGAACAUGUAACAAGAAAUUGCCCUUCUCCAAAAUGUAUGUUUAAACCAAAUGGACCCUCCACUGGUAGUUAACGUAAAUGUAAAAAUCAUAGUACCACACAACUAGAAAACCCUAUGACCUCCCCAACGUCAACCUUACACUAGAACAUUACAGGAAAGAUUAAAAGAGAAAGAAGGAACUCGGCAAACCACAGUCCCGCCUGUUACCAAAAACACCGCCUCUUGCCCAAAUAUAAGAGGUCCAGCCUGCCCAGUGACAUAGUUUAACGGCCGCGGUACCCUAACCGUGCGAAGGUAGCAUAAUCACUUGUUCUUUAAAUAAGGACUCGUAUCAACGGCAUCACGAGGGCUGUACUGUCUCCUUUCUCCAAUCAGUGAAACUGAUCUCCCCGUGAAGAAGCGGGGAUUGACCUAUAAGACGAGAAGACCCCAUGGAGCUUUAAACCCAACACACACCCCUACGCACCCAAACCAAUACAGCCCAAGAGACUUGUGUGUUGGUUUUAGGUUGGGGGGACCGCGGAGUAAAAUCAAACCUCCAUGACAGACGGGCUAAUACCCUUAUCCAUGAACCACAAUUCUAAGAGCCAAUAAAUUGUUGUCUCCUGACCCAAUUACUUGAUCAACGAACCAAGUUACCCUGGGGAUAACAGCGCAAUCUACUUCAAGAGCCCCUAUCGACAAGUAGGUUUACGACCUCGAUGUUGGAUCAGGGUAUCCUAGUGGUGCAGCCGCUACUAAAGGUUCGUUUGUUCAACGAUUAAAACCCUA